This 19-nucleotide ribosomal RNA is filed under the name Dyschoriste crenulata. RNAcentral describes it as "partial 28S ribosomal RNA". Lineage: Eukaryota; Viridiplantae; Streptophyta; Magnoliopsida; Lamiales; Acanthaceae. The record is from RNAcentral.
GCGACCCCCAGGUCAGGCG